Molecule: long non-coding RNA, 1910 nt
Organism: Haemorhous mexicanus (house finch)
Lineage: Eukaryota; Metazoa; Chordata; Aves; Passeriformes; Fringillidae
Exons: 2
Source: RefSeq, a predicted model, not a curated record
UGUGGUGUUUCAGAGGAUUUAAGGGGAUGCUGUUGUUUUGUGGGUGCUGCAGCUGGCGUUGUGGUUAGAGGGGGAUCUUGUCAGCAGGUCUGGUGCUACCAACUGAAUGCAGAGACCACAGCCAGUGCUGAGGUGGGUAAAGGGUGGGAAAUGAUCAUGCACUUACAUUCCAGAGAAAGCAGAUUCUUGUUCUUCUUCCAGAGCAGUUGCUGUAGGAGAUGGACGCAAAGGGGAGGAAGGCUGAGGUGGGAAUUCACCUGGUCCAGACCCAUCACUGCCCUCGCAGGCCCCAUCUCAGUGGGACAGGAUAGGGCCCUUCUGGCUCACUGAGGAGCAGAGCCUCCCCUACACAGAGCUCUGCAUGUCCUCUUGCAUGCUCAACUCUGGCAUUACCCCUCAAGACAUCUCCACAUGUGUCUGGGUCCUGGAACCUGCAAGUGACAGAGGGUUUCCGUGGGCUGAGCUGACUCGUUUUUCAGUGAUUUGCAUUUGCCACCAGUAGCAGUGAGAUUAAGUCCCACAGUGUCCAUCUUCCUCCUUUGGUGGUACUGCUUCUGCUAGUCCUAAUUCUUCUUGUUGAUCUGCCCACAGGAUAAAAAUAGCAGAAGAAACUUUCCUUGUGUGAGUUUCACUUCAGACUGUUUACAGACUGCUGACAGAGUGGUGGAAGCUAUGUGACCCAAUCCCUUAGGCAGAGUUCCCAGUACUGGUAUUCCUAGGAUGGGAGUGUUGUUCCUGGCUGUGAUGAGAAGGUAGAGAAAUUGGCUUGUGUGGUUUCCUCCCAAGAACUUGAUGCCUCCCUUCUGGGUAACCUUGAGGAAGGUCAGAGCAAAGCUGCAGCCCUGCUUUCUAGCCCUCUCUGACAGCAGAGGUGCUGUCUGGCUUCUGUCUUUGUCUGAAGCCUGGAGUUAUCAACACUUGCACUAUCAGUGAGUGCCCCAACAGCAGAGAAGCACUUACCUUUCCCUCCACUUGCAGAGAUGGACCUGGGAAUUACUGGGUGUCUGAACCUUUCAAGUGACUCAGGAGGUUUAGAGUUUUAGUGCUUUGUCUCUUCUGGUACUACUAAAUUUGGCACUGCUCUGAGUCUUCAUUUGUUCAGCACAAAGGUCAUAGUCAGGAGUCCUGGCAUCUCCAAACUUCUCUUUAACCUGCAAAGCAUUUCAAGGGUCAAGGAGCUAUUCUGUGGGCCUAAGUAUCAAAGAUGGGCUUUGUAGAAUAGGUGAUACUAGUAACAUUCAAGUUACUAACCACUGAUCUAUUGGAUGAUCAGUUUCAGUGCAGGAAACACCCUGUUGGAACUCAGAAGACACAUGAAAUGAAUUUCCUGGUCAGACUUGUUCCUAUGGACACCUUUAAUGCAACUGUGCAUUUCACACCAGCUCAUAUCUUUGCCAUGUCUUUCCCUUCUCCUUUCUGUGCCUGCAAGAUGCUGUAAAAUAAAGCAGUUAUGUAUGGAAUUCCAUAUAUAAUUGAAAAUAAAGUGAGAGAAGGAUUUAAUUUUCAGGGGAAGCAGUUUUCUUAUUCAUGUGCCAUUGUGGACUCAGGGCAUACAGACCUUAGAUACAGGGUAUGCACUCCUUAGAUGCUCGAGGCUUGUUUCCUAAUCCUGCAUCUAGGGAGCUCUUCUUGACAUCUUCACCAUCCAAGGCACAUGGAAUUCACCAGGUGCAUGGUGGCAGUGUGCCAGUACAAGGUCCUGUCCCUUUGACCUGGACAGAGCUGUAACAGUGUUCAUCCAGUGUGGUGUUGGUUGUGACAGCAGUUUACUGUAGACACGGAAUCCUCUGCUCAAACAGAGCCACUGACAGAGGCAGGAAGGAUCAGUCCUGCAGCAGCCAGCACAGCUCUCAUGAAAGUUGUGGUGAUAGACAUCAGCUCAGUAAGAUCUUAUCACUUCCAUUUAAAAA